Long non-coding RNA from Pogoniulus pusillus (Red-fronted tinkerbird), 696 nucleotides. RefSeq lists it as uncharacterized. The transcript has 3 exons. The record is from RefSeq and is a predicted model, not a curated record. Lineage: Eukaryota; Metazoa; Chordata; Aves; Piciformes; Lybiidae.
GGGGGAGAAUUGCAGCCCAAGGCUGGUGCAGGAGCUCAGCAGAGCAGCUUGGAUUCCUCUGGGUCAGGAAGUGCCAGGAGGAUGGAGGUUUCCUUGCAGAUUUGACUUUGGACCCUGCAGAGUCCUGACUGGAGGUUUUCCCACAUCUCUUCCAUGCAGUGCCUCUGAAGGACAGUGAAACAGGAGCUCAGCCUGCAGGCACUCAGUGACCUCGAGGGAAGUGCAUGGUCUGGCAGCUGACAGUGGGGACAAGGAGGUGUCUGAACACCUGACUGCCUUAUGGCUCUGCUGUCUCAACUCUCCUCCAGCAACUCCUGUGCUGCCCUGAGACCCACUCUGCUACAGUGGCAGUGAGCAGAGACAUGCUGAAGGCACAAGGUCAGUGGAGAACAGACACUUGCAUCAGUCCUUCAAAGAUGUGGUGUUCAAAACCCAACCUUUGGGACCAUGUCCAUCCACCCAUCAGCAUCAACAGAGCACCCAGCUGUGGGAAACACACCCUGUGUAAAGCCUUUCCCUGCUGCUGUCCCAGGCAGGCCAGGGGCCCGUGGCACAGUGACUGCUUUCUUUGCAGGCUGCAAGGUGUUUCCUGACAGGAGCCCAGAGGCAACCUCCUCUCCUCACCAGCAGUAUCUGCCAGCAGACAGCUGGACACCAUUUUCCAUGCUACUUUAAAUAGCAAAGACCUUACAAUAA